ACCUGAGUGGCUCAGUCAGUUGAGCAUCUGACUUCAGCUCAGGUCAUGAUCUCACGGUUUGUGGGUUCGAGCCCCACAUCGGGCU
RNAcentral lists this transfer RNA (85 nucleotides) under Felis catus (domestic cat). It matches the Rfam family "tRNA". Rfam says of the family: Transfer RNA (tRNA) molecules are approximately 80 nucleotides in length. Their secondary structure includes four short double-helical elements and three loops (D, anti-codon, and T loops). The record is from Rfam by way of RNAcentral. Lineage: Eukaryota; Metazoa; Chordata; Mammalia; Carnivora; Felidae.